This 490-nucleotide ribosomal RNA is filed under the name uncultured bacterium. RNAcentral's name for it is "partial 16S ribosomal RNA". It matches the Rfam family "Bacterial small subunit ribosomal RNA", at positions 30 to 507 of the family's 1533-position model. The record is from RNAcentral.
AUUGAACGCUGGCGGCAGGCCUAACACAUGCAAGUCGAACGGUAACAGAAAGCAGCUUGCUGCUUUGCUGACGAGUGGCGGACGGGUGAGUAAUGUCUGGGAAACUGCCUGAUGGAGGGGGAUAACUACUGGAAACGGUAGCUAAUACCGCAUAACGUCGCCAGACCAAAGAGGGGGACCUUCGGGCCUCUUGCUAUCGGAUGUGCCCAGAUGGGAUUAGCUAGUAGGUGGGGUAACGGCUCACCUAGGCGACGAUCCCUAGCUGGUCUGAGAGGAUGACAAGCCACACUGGAACUGAGACACGGUCCAGACUCCGACGGGAGGCAGCAGUGGGGAAUAUUGCACAAUGGGCGCAAGCCUGAUGCAGCCAUGCCGCGUGUAUUAAGAAGGCCUUCGGGUUGUAAAGUACUUUCAGCGGGGAGGAAGGGAGUAAAGUUAAUACCUUUGCUCAUUGACGUUACCCGCAGAAGAAGCACCGGCUAACUCCGUG